UACGUAGGUGGCGAGCGUUAUCCGGAUUUAUUGGGCGUAAAGCGUCCGCAGACGGCUUGUUAAGUCUAGAAUCAAAGCCCGGAGCUCAACUUCGGUUCGUUCUAGAAACUGGCAGGCUUGAGUAUAGUAGAGGCAAGUGGAAUUUCUAGUGUAGCGGUAGAAUGCGUAGAUAUUAGGAGGAACACCAGUGGCGAAGGCGACUUGCUGGGCUACUACUGACGUUCAUGGACGAAAGCGUGGGGAGCGAAUA
RNAcentral lists this ribosomal RNA (250 nucleotides) under uncultured prokaryote. Its description in RNAcentral is "partial 16S ribosomal RNA". It matches the Rfam family "Bacterial small subunit ribosomal RNA", at positions 524 to 774 of the family's 1533-position model. The record is from RNAcentral.